Molecule: non-coding RNA, 966 nt
Filed under: Monodelphis domestica (gray short-tailed opossum)
Lineage: Eukaryota; Metazoa; Chordata; Mammalia; Didelphimorphia; Didelphidae
Source: Rfam by way of RNAcentral
UAAACAAAAGGUUUGGUCCUAGCCUUAUUGUUAAUUUUAAUUAGACCUACACAUGCAAGUUUCUGCUAUCCUGUGAGAAUGCCCACAAAACUAUUUAAUCAAAAGAUAAGAGGAGUUGGUAUCAGGCACACUAAUAGUAGCCAAUUACACCUUGCUUAACCACACCCCCACGGGAAACAGCAGUGAUUAAAAUUCAGCUAUAAAUGAAAGUUUGACUAAAUUAUAAUUAUUUUCAAAGGUUGGUAAAUUUUGUGCCAGCCACCGCGGUCAUACGAUUAACCCAAAUUAACAAAUCUUCGGCGUAAAGCGUGUUUAAGCAAAAAUAUUAAAAUAAAGUUAAUAACUAAACUGUAAUACGUUCUAGUUGAUACUAAGAUAAAUUAUUAAAAUAACUUUAACAAAGCUGACACACAAUAACUAAGAUACAAACUUGGAUUAGAUAACCCACUAUGCUUAGUCAUAAACUAAAAUAGUUAAAUAACAAAACUAUUCGCCAGAGAACUACUAGCUAUUGCUUAAAACUCAAAGGACUUGGCGGUGCCCUAAAGCCAUCUAGAGGAGCCUGUUCUAUAAUCGAUAAACCCCGAUAUACCCAACCCUGUCUUGCCAAUACAGCCUAUAUACCGCCAUUGUCAGCCCACCUUAAAAAAGACAAAAAGUAAGCAAAACUACUUUCCAUAAAAACAUUAGGUCAAGGUGUAGCACAUGAAAGGGAAAGAAAUAGGCUACAUUUUCUAAUUUAGAGAAUAAUGAAUUACAUUAUGAAAUUAAAGUACUUGAAGGAGGAUUUAGUAGUAAAUUAAGAAUAGAGUGCUUAAUUGAAUUAGGCAAUAGGGCGCGCACAUACCACACCGCCUGUCACCCUCCUCAACUCAAUUUAUUAAUAUACCUAAUAAUCCAUCUAAACAAAGAGAAAAGUCAUAACACGGUAAGUGUACUAGAAAGUGAUUUUGGAAUAUCAAAAUG